Molecule: ribosomal RNA, 379 nt
Filed under: uncultured bacterium
Lineage: Bacteria
Description: bacterial SSU rRNA
Rfam family: Bacterial small subunit ribosomal RNA
Source: RNAcentral
GACGAACGCUGGCGGCGUGCUUAACACAUGCAAGUCGAGCGGUAAGGCCCUUUCGGGGGUACACGAGCGGCGAACGGGUGAGUAACACGUGGGUGACCUGCCCUCAGCUCUGGGAUAAGCCUGGGAAACUGGGUCUAAUACCGGAUAUGACUCCAUGACGCAUGUUGUGGGGUGGAAAGCCUUGUGCGGCUGAGGAUGGGCCCGCGGCCUAUCAGCUUGUUGGUGGGGUGANGGCCUACCAAGGCGACGACGGGUAGCCGGCCUGAGAGGGCGACCGGCCACACUGGGACUGAGACACGGCCCAGACUCCUACGGGAGGCAGCAGUGGGGAAUCUUGCGCAAUGGGCAAAGCCUGACGCAGCGACGCCGCGUGAGGGAU